RNAcentral lists this ribosomal RNA (483 nucleotides) under uncultured bacterium. Its description in RNAcentral is "partial 16S ribosomal RNA". It matches the Rfam family "Bacterial small subunit ribosomal RNA", at positions 28 to 523 of the family's 1533-position model. The record is from RNAcentral.
GACGAACGCUGGCGGCGUGCUUAACACAUGCAAGUCGAACGAUGAAGCCGGAGCUUGCUCCGGUGGAUUAGUGGCGAACGGGUGAGUAACACGUGAGCAAUCUGCCCUUGACUCUGGGAUAACUGCGGGAAACUGUAGCUAAUACCGGAUACGACACCUUGGGGCAUCCCAGGGUGUGGAAAGAAUUUCGGUCAAGGAUGAGCUCGCGGCCUAUCAGCUAGUUGGUGAGGUAAUGGCUCACCAAGGCGACGACGGGUAGCCGGCAUGAGAGGGUGACUGGGAACACUGGAACGGAGACACGGUCCGGAGUACUACGGGAGGCAGCAGUGGGGAAUAUUGCACAAUGGGCGAAAGCCUGAUGCAGCAACGCAGCGUGAGGGAUGAAGACUUUCGGGUUGUAAACCUCUUUUAGCAGGGAAGAAGCGAAAGUGACGGUACCUGCAGAAAAAGCACCGGCUAACUACGUGCCAGCCGCCGCCGUAA